This 404-nucleotide ribosomal RNA is filed under the name uncultured bacterium. RNAcentral's name for it is "partial 16S ribosomal RNA". It matches the Rfam family "Bacterial small subunit ribosomal RNA", at positions 28 to 526 of the family's 1533-position model. The record is from RNAcentral.
GACGAACGCUGGCGGCGUGCUUAACACAUGCAAGUCGAACGAGUGGCGAACGGGUGAGUAACACGUGGGUGAUCUGCCUUGCACUUCGGGAUAAGCUUGGGAAACUGGGUCUAAUACCGGAUAGUGCAAGAUGAGCUCGCGGCCUAUCAGAUUGUUGGUGGGGUAAUGGCUACCAAGGCGCGACAGGUAGCCGGCCUGGGAGGGUGUACGGCCACAUUGGGACGGGGAUACGGACCAGACUGCUACGGGAGGGAGAAAUGGGGAAUAGUGCACAAGGGGCGGAAGCCGGAUGCAGCGACGCCGCGUGGGGAUGAAGACCUUCGGGUUGUAAACUCCUUUCGACAGGGACGCGGUACCUGUAUAAGAAGCACCGGCUAACUACGUGCCAGCAGCCGCGGUAAUAC